Molecule: transfer RNA, 67 nt
Filed under: Bruchus sp. EMHAU-15071302
Lineage: Eukaryota; Metazoa; Arthropoda; Insecta; Coleoptera; Chrysomelidae
Description: tRNA-Trp
Source: RNAcentral
AAGGAUUUAAGUUAAGCUAAACUUUCAGCCUUCAAAGCUGAUAAUAGAGAAAUUUCUCUAAGCCUUA